UAAAGAUGAAAAAGUAUGGAUGUCACAGCAGUAGAACAAUGCAAAUGUAUUAAAAUUAAAAGUUAAUUAGGUAUAUUAAGUAACGUAACCGGCAAGGAAUGAAAGGUAUGAAAGAUACCCAGACUAGAGCAAAAAGAUUUUAAGUUUAAAUGGAAGGUAUGGAUUUUAAAGGUAAUAUUUAUUAAUGGGAGGUCUAGAUAUCACACUGGGCAUAGUUAAAUUGAAGGUAAAGGUAAAAGGUAUAGUAACACAAUGUAAGGUAAAAAGGAAAGUUUGAGUAUGCAAAUAAAGGUUGAAUGGACGGUAUGGAUGCAAAUACAAAAAUACGACAAUGGAAAGUUGAAAUAAAUAUAUGAACGUUGUGCAAUGGGUGGAGUAAUAAAAUAGUAAGACACUCAAAGGUAAAAUGAAAGGUAUGGAUAACACACUGGGUAGGAAAUAACAGUUUGAAUGUAAGGUAUUGCUGAUAUACUACGGAAAUCAAAAGCUACGUUGGCCCAUUGGGUACAACAAAAAGGAAAAAAGAAAUGUAAGAUGAAAAGUAAGAGUGUGUAUGUAUCAAUGAAACUAAUAGAAUGAAUGACAUAUAGGGUAGAGAAUUCAAAGCAAAAUUAUUCAAAGGUUGAAACAAAGACAUAGACGAAACAUUGGUAGAGAGGUACAGACAUAAGAAUGGAAGGGUAUGGAUGACAGAGGACAGAUGAAUACAAAAAAUGAGAAAAAGAAAAGUUAAAUGGGUAGACUAAUGCGCAAAUCCGCAAAGGCAGGAAUGAUACCCUGUGGAGAGCAGUUUUAAAGAAAGAAAUUAAAGGUAUGAAUGAAAUUUAAAUGAAAUAUAUGGUUUAUAAAGUGAAUGUCUGGUCAAGUAACAAUAAUACUAGAAUAUAUAAACACUAAAGUAUAAUAUUAAAUGGAAGGUUUGAAUGACAGACUGGGAAAAACUGCACAAAAAUACGAAGAUGAAAAAUUGGAAUCAAAGUAUGAAUGAUCCAAUGAAGGAAAUGAAGGAUUAAAGGAAAAGCAGGGAUGAUAUACUACGAAAGGUAUUACAAAAUAAAAAGAAAUUUAAGGAUAUUAUAAAGCUAGGGAAUACUAAAAAGGGAAGCUUAUGGAAGGUAAUGGGCAACAAAUUAAGAAGAGUAAUAAGAAAAAAAAGGAAGUAAGAGGUUUAGAUGAAAUUAAUAUAUGGUACAUGAAAUGCAGCAAUACCAAAAAGAGUUGAUUAGCGUGUAUAUGAAAGAAUGUGAAAGGUAUGGAUAAGGUAAUAAAAGAUGAAAAAUGGUCAAGUGGAUGGUUUUGAUGAUGCAAUGGUUAGAUUUACUAGAAAAAUAAGGAAAUGGAAGGUUGAUUGAAAGGUCUGGAUGUCAUGCAAGAUGGAGCUAUGCACAAAAAACGGUAAUGAAAAAUUGAGUUUGAACGCAAGAUAUGGAUAAUUUUGUGGAUUGAGGAAUACGAAAAUAAGAAAAUAAGAUGAAAUGAAAGGUGAAGUGAAAGGUGAAGUGAAAGGUGAAGUGAAAGGUGAAAUGAAAGGUUUGGAUGAUACUGCAAUUAACAAAACAAAUUGAUAAGAAAAUCAAAGGUAAGAUGAAAAGUUAGAGUGAAAAACUUCGUAUAGUAAUGUAUGUAUUAAUAAAUGACUGGAAUGGAUAACAUUUGGGAUUGAAUAUUAUUAAACAAAAACGUAGAGAAAAGAUGUGGAUGAUACCCUAGGUACAGUGAUAAGAAAAUAAAAGGAAGAAAAUAAAAGGUUUAAAGGGAGACAUGCAUGCAACUUCGCGUAAAAUAUUAUAGAAUGAAAGGUUAAUAAGUGAUUUGAAUGAAAGGUACUAUACUAUAGAGCAAAAGAAAGAAAUUAAAGGUGGUGAAUUGAAUUUAGAUAAACAGUAUGGAAUACAUAGUCGGCAACAGAUAUAUAUGAACAAUGAUAUAUGAUAUUAGAUUUAAGGUUUGGAUGACUUAAUGGGUCGAGUAUGCAAGAAAUGUUAAAUAGAAGGUAAAAUGACAGGUAUGGUUAACACAUAGGAAGGAUGUACUAGGAAGUAAAAGUUAUGGAUAACAAAACUGGAUAGAGGGAUAGAAAAAAGAGGUAAAAAUGAGAGGAAUGGACAAUACAUUGUGUAAAGUAAAACAAAAUGAAGGUGACUGAUGUGGAGUAAUAAGAAAGGUAAAGUAAAGUAUGAAAGGUAUGAACGACAUCCCAGUAUUUAAAAGGUAUAUAAGAUAAAGGUAUGAAUGACACACAAGCAUAGGUGAUAGAUUGGAUACAGUUGAUAACGAGGAGUGAAACAGUACAAGAAAUGUAUGCAUAUUAAGUAAUAAGAAAGAAAUAUAAUAAAAAAGUUAAAGUAAAGGUAGAAUUGGAACAUAGCGUAGAGUAAUACAGAAAUAAGAAUGAAAGGAUAAAUGAAAAGGUGUGAAUGACACGAUGGUAAAAUGAUACAAGAAUCGGAAAACCGAAAGGUUAAAUGGGUAUACUUAUGCGGUAGACCCUGGAGUAACGUAAGCGGUAGAACAGGAAAGGUAUGAAUGGUACCCUGGAAAGCUAUAAACGAUACCCUGGGAAGAGCGAUGUUAAAGGAAGAAAUUAAAGUAUGAAUGAAAUUUAAAUGAGAGGAUGGGGUUGUUGAGUCAAUAACAGGAAAAAUAAGGAAUAAAAUUUGAUGUUGAAUGAAGGUGGAGUAAAGAAAAAUAAAUAAAGAAAAAUGAUAAGAUAAAAGGUAUUGAUGAUACUUGGUAGAUUAAUUCAAAAAUUUGAAUUGGGAAGAAGGGGCGAUAUACUUGGUCGAACAAAGUAAAACAAAAACUAUGGAUCAGUAAGUAGAGUAACGAAAAAAAAGGAAAAUAUAGAUGACACAAGGUGUAGAAUAAAAAAAAGUUAAAUUGAAAGUAUGGGUGAAAAGGAAGAUUAUAUGGAGGGUAUGGAUGAUUCAGAAAAGGUGAAAUGGAAGGUAUGAAUGGCACACUGAGUAGAAUAAUGCAUAGGAGAUUAAAUGGAAGGAAUGGAUGACGCACUGGACAGAGAAAUGUUAAAAAAAAAAAAAAAAAAACGAAAUUGAUGACACGCUGGGCAGACUAAUGCAAAAAUACGAAAAUGGAACGUUUAAAUAAAGUCAUGGACGAAGGGUAAAUCAAUAAAGCAGUAGAUAAAAAACUCAAAGGUAUAUGAAAGGUACGAAUAACGAAAUUAAAGGUUACAUGAAAAGUAUGAAUGAUGUGUUAUACAGAAAUACGGAAACAAAUGCUUGUGUAAAAGAUAUGAUUGGCAGAUUGGGUAGAUACCCUUUCAUUAAAAGGAUGAUAUGAAUAUCUGGAUGGAGAGUAAAGGAAUGGAUGGCACACAUGUAAAUGAAUAUGCAAUUUAAUGUAAUGUUAAAUGGAAGCUAUGCAUGACACAAAAAAACAACAACAAAAAACAAGAAACAAAGGAUAUAGAUAAUACACUGGCUAGAUUAACUGAAUAUUAAGGAAAUAAAAGGUAAAAGAAACACAUUGGUCUGAGAAUUGAAUUGAUAUUAGGGAGAAGAGUUUAAACGAAAGGUAUGGAUGAAACAUGGAUUAGAGCAGUACAAGAAAUCUUAAUGGAAGGUUUAAUGUACGGUUGAGAAAAAAAAUCGAAACUAAAAGGGUAUAUAUGGAUGACGGAUAUAGUUGAUUUGAACGAUAUAAAAAACACCCUGGGUAGAGAAAUGAUAAUAGUGGCUUUAAAUGGUACGAAUGAUAACCUGGGUAGAGAAUAUGAAGGGAAAACGAGUACACUAUGAAAGAUAUGAAUAGAAUUAUACAGAUGGUAGUAGUGAAAGAUGAAAGUAAUUAACUUAUUAAAAUGAUUGAUUUGAAAGGUAUGAAUGACACCAAGAGCAGAGUUAUAGGUAUGGAUGACACCCAAAGUAGAGUAACAAGAAAGGUAGAUUUUAAAAGUAUGGAUGAUACCCAAGGUAGAGAAAAGAAAGGUAUUUUUAAAGGUAUGGAUGACGCUCAGGGUUAAGUAACAACAACAACAACAACAACAAAUAAAAAGGAUACAGAUGAGACCCUGGUUAGAGAUAUUCAAACACACUGAUCAGAGUAGUGAAAAUGUAGAUUUAAAAGCUAUGAAUAAUACUCUGGGUAGAGUAAUAGAAAUGUAGAUAUUACUGGUAUGAAUGGAUAGAGAUUAUACCUAGGGUAGAGAAGAUCUAGGGAAAACGAGUAAAAUAGAAGGGAUAUAUGAUUAUACAGAUGGUUGUUGUAAAAGACGCAAAUAAUUAACUUAUUAAAUGUGGUUGAUCUGAAAGGUAUGGAUGACACCCUGGGUAAAGUAACAAAGAAGAAAAAUUUUAUAGGUAUGGAUGAAAUCAAGGGUUGGGUAACAAAAAUUAAGAUUGAAAGGAAGAUACCCAGUGUUAAGUAGCAAUUAAGAAAGAUUUGAUAGGUAUGGCUGAAACCAAGGGUAGAAUAACAAAAAAGAAAAACUUUAAAGGUAUGGUUGAUACCCCGGGUAGAAUAUAAAAAAAGAAAGAUUUGAUAGGCAUGAAUGAAACAAAGGGCUGAAUAAAUAAAGGAAAGGUAUGGAUGAAAGGGUAAAGUAACAAUAAAGAAAGAAUUGAAAGGUAGAGAUGAAAUCAAGGGCAGAGUAAUAAAAAAGAAAGAUUUGAAAGGUAUGGAUGAAACCAAGAGUAGAGUAGCAAAAAAGAAAGAUUGGAAAGGUAUGGAUGAAACCAAGGGUUAAGUAACAACGACAAAAAACAUAUAAAUAUAUUUGGAAAGUAUGGAUGAUAACCAGUGUAGAGUAAAAAGAAAGGUAUUAGAGGCAUGGAUGAAACCAAGGGUUGAGUAACAAAAAAGAAAGGUAUUAGAGGCAUGGAUGAAACCAAGGGUUGAGUAACUAAAAAGAAAGGUUUGAAAGGUAUGGAUGACACCCAGUGUAGAGUAAGGUAUGAAUGGGUGAGCAACAAAAGAUUUAAAAGGUAUGGAUGACACCCUGGUUAGAGUAACAACAAUUUUGAACAAUGAAAUAUAAUAUAUAAUGAAACAUAAUACAUAAGAUUUAUUAAUGGAUGAAACCAAGGGUAGAGUAAUAGUAAAGAAAUAUCAGAAAGGUAUGGAAAAUAUCAAGGGUAGAGAAACAAAAAAAAUGAAGAUUAUAAAGGUAUGGAUGAAAUCAUGGAUAGAGGAACAAAAGAGAAAUAUGUGAAAGGUAUGGAUGAAAUCAAGGGCAGAGUAACAAUAAAAAAGAUCUGAAAGGUAUGGAUGAUACCCAGUGUAAAGUAACAAAAACGAAGAGAAAAAAAGAAGAAAGGUAUGGAUGUAACCAAAGGUUGAGUAAUAAAAAAGAAAAAAUUGAAAGGUAUGGAUUACACCCUGGGUAAAGUAACAAUAAAGACAAAUUUGAUGGGCAUGGAUGAAACCAAGGGUAGAAUAACAAAAAAAUAGAAAGAUUUGAAAGGUAUGAAUGAUACCCAGUGUAGAGUAAGGUAUGGAUGAAACCAAGGGUUGUGCAACAACAACAACAA
This 5492-nucleotide long non-coding RNA is filed under the name Penaeus japonicus. Its description in RNAcentral is "uncharacterized LOC122249919, transcript variant X1". The record is from RNAcentral. Lineage: Eukaryota; Metazoa; Arthropoda; Malacostraca; Decapoda; Penaeidae.